RNAcentral lists this long non-coding RNA (1846 nucleotides) under Homo sapiens (human). RNAcentral's name for it is "non-protein coding lnc-ADIPOQ-2:1". Lineage: Eukaryota; Metazoa; Chordata; Mammalia; Primates; Hominidae. The record is from RNAcentral.
CUCCUGGCUGCCCCUUCCCCUCAAAUUGGAAUAAGGCCAGCUACGGAGACUCAGAUGUUUUGCCUCUCAUCCUUGUGCCAGGAGGCCUUUGUUUGGGCAAAAGCAUGGGCUGUUGACAUCAGCCCCACGGGGAAGAAAGUGUGUCUUAGCAAGCUACUCCUGAGCCACUUGUGGGAGAACAAAGCAUUGUUUUCACUGAUCUUAUUAAAGUUACUUUUUUUUUAACGAGAGUCCCAUGGAAGUAGCUGCUUAUUUUUGUAUUUGGCAGAGAAGUAGGAAAACCAAAAAAACACUGAGAAGCCGGAUUUCCCCAAAGUUAACAUGUUGUUUUGCACUGUGCCUGUUAUCUCCUAGUUACACUUGUUUCUUUUCCUUAGAGUUUCCAGCGUGUUUCACUUUCAAUGUGAUUCUGGUAGCAACAGGAGGCAGCUGGAUGCCUAGGCAGAUAGGGUCAGGUACCCGGUGAAACCCCCACCUCCAGGCCAAAGACAGUUUAAAGCCUGAAAGCCAAGCUACGAGUUAAAUCCUCAGACCAGAGUGAGAACUUGUUUGGCGUGCUUUCCCCUAAUUGAUUCCUACAUUUCGCCUGUUUUACAUAUACCCACUUUUUCCUAAUUGGUUUUCUACGCUGCCGUGCCCACCUUUGAGUGGUGUCUUUGCUUUCAUCUUUUUUGCAUACUCACAAACCGGUCAGCAUGCACUCCCUAUUCUGAGUCCAUAAAAGGCCCCUGACCCAGCCACAUUGGGGAACUUUUCCGUCUUCAGGUAGGGGACCAACCCGGUGUCCCCUCUCUGCUGAAAGCUGUUUUCAACACUCAAUAAAAUUCUUAUCUGCCUUCCUCUCCCUUCAAUGUCCAGUGUAUCCUCAUUAUCCUUUGGUGUGGUGCACGAGCUCGGAACCACCGAACGCGGGUACAAGCUAUAAUACAGUGAGCUGGGACACACCUGCAUGGCCGAGCGAGCACAGGUGGGGCAUUGCUGGCCCGAGGACCAAGAAGAAAAAUCCUACAUCAAUUCCUCUUGGCACUGCAGUAUAGUUUUCUCACCAGGACGCUGACCCUGUAAGGAACUUCAGAAAUCAUGUGACUGGACCCUUUUACUUUCCAGAUGGGAAAAGUGAGGCCUAGAGAAGAGAAAUUGCUUGCCUAAUGAUACACAACAAUGCGUGGUCUACUUUUAGUGCACCUUUUUGCGUAAAAGGGAAAUGGUUGCAUCAAACCAGUAGUUGUUGGUACUCCAGAGAAAAGCCAAAGUUAUGGUUGUUAUAACAACACCCUUUAAGUCAGAGAACCAAUUCCUUAUGGAUUUAAAUAGGUUUGGUUAUUAAGCAAAGCCAGGGAUCCCAGUAGUAGGUAUGCUGAAUAGUGCAAUUAUCUCUGGGGAUCAGCUUUCUUUAGUGUUUGCUGAACGGUUCACUUUACUCUUGUGCUGGGUUCCUCCAUGUCUCUGUCUUGUGCUUCCCCAUUUAGGGGCUGCUUUGUAUGAAAUCAUAAGGCAAGAGGCAGUGAGAAGACAGAAGAGAGAGGCGCCACUUAGCUGUUCAUGCUACUUAACCUCUUGGGCUCCAGUUUCCUUCUUUGUACAGUGAGGGUUCUCCUUGCCCAGUCUCUGCACAGGCUGUUCCAGCGGAGCGGAAGAUGCUCAGGCCAUAGGAGGGGUUUGGGGUCAUCUUCCUGUCUCUAGUAUUACUUUAAAACCAGCAGGCUGGGCCAGGUGUGGUGGCUCACUCCAGUAAUCACAGCACUUCAGGAGGCCGAGGAGGGAAGAGUUCGAAUUCCUUGAGCUCAGGAGUUUGAGACCAGCCUGAGCAACAUAGUGAGACUACCUCCCCCACCGCCAUCUCUAC